UCUCAGCAUCCCUUUCACCGCCGCUUUCGAGGAGACAGUCUGCUUUUCGCAUUCCCGUGUCCAUCCAGCUAUUACGAUUGACUGACAGAUAACAAGCUAAAUGCCACGCUAUAUGUGAACUAAGCAAGCUAGCUAACGAAUUAGAUAUGGUUACGAGUAGAAUUGCUUCUUUUCAGCUACAGAAAAUAGAGCUAAAGUAGCAUCAUUGAAGUUGGUAUGCUGCGUUGCACUUCAUGGAAUCAAUAAAAAGCUGGCGAGUUUGACAGACUACCGCUGGAAGAAAGUGAAGACAACUAACGUUACUCAGUAAGGACCAACUAGCCGCCUGGCUCAGAACCACUCCUGCCUGACCCAGUCCACUCCUGCUUCUUGCCCCUCACUGUGCUGAGUAACACAGGGUCACAAACCAUAACAGGCUGGUAAAGUAAGUGAAAAAAGUUGUCAGUGAGUUUCAAGAUAGUAGGUAGCCAGCUAUGCAGCCUCAAAGACAAGAAUAGACACACAAAAAGGGCAUCCCCUUUCUUAUCUAGGCGCCCACAUCUAUCACUCUAGUAUUAAUGCUAAAUUGUAAUUAUUUCACCUCUGUGGCUUAUUUAUUGCCUUACCUCCCUGCUCUUCUACAUUUGCACACACUGUACAUAGAUUUUUCGAUUUUUCUUUUCUAUUGACUGUACGUUUGUUUAUGUGUAAUUCUGUGUUGUUUUUGUCGCAAUGCUUUGCUUUAUCUUGGCCAGGUUGCAGUUGUAAAUGAGGACUUGUUCUCGACUGGCCUACCUGGUUAAAUAAAGGUGAUAUCUACAUAUAUAUACUUUUUUUAAUACCGUACACUACUACGGUAUCUCAUUGGAUUAGUCUGUGUAUCUAAUCCCACAGGCCCGUCACCAGGUAUCAUCUCUCUAGCGUAUGAACAGGACCUGAUCAUUGCCACUCUGUAACGCAUCACCUGUGACCCGAUUGGACAGGACAGUCCUCGGGCUCAGGUUACCAUCAAGUAAAUACUUUAAAUGCGGAAAGGAGGACAGCUCCGUCGCCCCAGCCCUGUUAAAGUCUCGGUGUCUGUCUCUGACAUGAGGACGGCGCUCAGUGUUCCACUGACCUCCGUGAUGCUGAGUCGGGUCCUUGACCUCUCCAGCUUGACAACAGUGAUUAACAGUGAUUGUGUCGCACUGGCUUCACAAAGCUCCUGUGGCCUCCAGUGAGAUCUCCUUCACCUGAGAGAGUGAUAGAAGGAAAAGAGGUGGUUAGUUUAGCUACUGUCAAUGCUCAACGGUAUACUAUUGUGUCAACAGCUAUUCCAUACCAUUGAUGCUGUCUAGAAUUGGCAAGGAUGUAAGGUAACAUUUCUCAUAACUUCUAUACUAUUUGUUGAUCGAUAUAUUAUGUUCCACGCAUCACAUUGUUUUUAUUGACUAAAUAAUAAGAAGUGCAUUAAUCAAGCAUCUGGUUAGAAUAUGAUAUUGUGCCUUUGUGCUAGCUAAGUAAUCAGGGGAAUUAUUGCAUACUAUCCAAAAACUGAUCAAGACCCAAUUCUCGAUAACGAAUCUGAACACGUGCAAAGGUGAACAAGGCGACAGACACUGAGCUAUAUAUGCACGGCGACAGGCCACGCAGCCUCUGCCUUCUGCUAUUUGUACCUCUUGACAUGCCUCUGUAUCUGUUGAGGAUCUUAAACACUACGCUCUCACGUUGUCCUCUCUGCUCGAUCCCGUGCCAUUUUUAGUUUCCAGUAGCUGUAGAUUCCUUCACAAUGCCCUGUUUUCUUUCUGGCUUUGAGUUAUUUCCAAACGAAACACUGCAUAGUCGUCGUCUACGAGUUUACAGAUCUCUGCCACGGCUGCAUUCGCUAGCACCUCCAUGAUGGAGGCUAUUUGAGUGUGAAAAACCAUACAGAUAGCCACAUUAGCUCAAAUUAGCAGCUAGCUAGGGUUAUCCAGAUAACAUCUAUCAACCAAGUCCUGUCUCCAAUGCAAAUUAAAGACUACUGCAGUAAGUAUGUGAUGGUGUGCAGUUAAAUUUGGCAUAUUUUGAGUUCCAGGACUUUAAUGUCUAAAUAACAACAAUAAACACAAACGUGGAAAUUGUUCUACAAUAAAGAGACCUUAUCUUAUUGGUUGGCAUCAUAGCUGAACGGGUGAGCUUAAAUGAAAAAGGUAUGCAUGCUGCUCUUUGAAUUAUGGUACUGUUUAUUACAUUACACAUCAAAUCUCCCAAUGUCAGUAUCUAUCAAGUGGAGGGCAGACGUGUUUAGAAAGAACAGUGUGAAUACAGCAAGAAUACAGUAGAAAAUAUUAGAAUAACUUUAUUCCAUCUAUAUCACCUCAGUAAGGUAAAUAUUAAACUGUCCUUACAAGCCUGUUUCAAAUGACAAGUUAACAAAGGGUUAAUGAAGGGUAUGCGGUUAAUUAGCAUCUUACCCCAAAACACUUCACAACUAUAUGUCAACUUAAGAAUAGUUCCUGGAUAUCCCCUGUGUACAUCUCGAGCCACACUGCUACAAUUUCUCCCGGUUGUGGACACUCCUAUGUCUGAUAAGGUUAGUCAGGAAGGAGAAGGUCUUGUAACAUAGUUUGCACUUGAAGGGCUUGUCCUUGGUGUGAACGGCCUGGUGCUCCCUCAAAUAGUCUGCCCUAGCGAAGCGCUUCCCACAUGUGGGGCAGGUGUACGGCUUGUCGGCGUCCGUCCUAAUACAUGGCCUCCCACGUUGUGACCCAAUGACACCAGACGAGGCAGAAGCAGGAGCCACCACCCUCAGGUUGUUAGUCUUUAAGCUCCCUCCUUGACCUCUAGCCAUUGUUGUUUGGGUGUUGAUGUUGUGUCCUGUGUUAUAGGCUAAGUACCUCUUGUGAUGGAUGCCCAUCCUGACCCUGUCUGUAUUGGUGGGGUAACCAUGAGGUAAUUGAGGAAGGCUAGACCCAGGUCCAGGCCCUCUGUGAACCCAUUCGCCAGGCAUUAGACAAGAUCCUGAAGGAGAAGACAGACCUCCUGUUAGACUCCCACCAGGGGGGUCUCCCACCAAUCUCUGUGAAGGCUGAAGCCCAGGAUGACCUGCUCUGUUCAUCAUGGACACUGUGGUGUUUGUAUCAUAGGAACAGGAGGGUCUAUCUCUAUCAGCCCCAGGCCCUGCUUCAUCCCUGCACUGAGACUGUGAAGAGAAGGGUCUGGACUGCAGACUGGAUCCAUGACUGGAGCUUCUGUCUAUCUGAUGACCACCAGGACUGAGGUUGUUUAGUCCACCUGUCCACUGGUUGUGUUCUGUGUGGUGGUUGUGGUGGAGUCUCUGUCCCUCAUUGUUCGGUUCUGUUUCUGACUCGGAAUGGAAAAGUGACGGCUCCUGAUCCAGGGUCCUGAUCCGGAGCCAAGGUUUGUGACCAGCCGCCUCAGAGGUCCAGUCUCUCCCACCAGCAACACCGGAUAUCAGAAGGUCCUCGUGGACUGCAGACUGUAAACACAAAUUGUACAGAAGAGAAUAAAGGUUUAUAUAAGAAACUCUUUGCUGUACACACAAAACAUUACAUUAUAAAAUGUUAACCACAGUCAAGCCCAUCUCUAACACUGUGAUUCAUGUACCUAACAAUCUGGAGUCAUUGGUGUUUAUUUUUAUUUUUAAAUCCAAAUGUGUUGAUUCAAGAAUGAAGUAUGUUUUGGUUCGACUGGGAUAAGGGAAAUUCAGCCCUUGCAAUGAUACAAAAAGUCAGUACAGAGUAAAUGUAUUUCAUUUCAACAAAAUGGUCAUACACUCACAUAACGUGAAGAACAGUACUUUUAUUGCACAAAACGAUACGUGUGUCAGGCAGAAUAACUUCCAACUAUGGUAACACUAUAUCUUCUGUAAAUCUGAUACCCUCGCUUUGAUAAAAUGAAUUUUAGUAUACUUUGGAAAAGGUUGAACAUUACAUUACACACAGCUUGAUGUCAAGUAAACAUUAAGUUACUAUCAUUUCCUCAUUAUAAAACACCAGCAUCAAAGGUUGUCACUUUUCAUCAGUAAAGCAAUUUUACAGACACCAUCACACCACACCAAGGUUUCCUCAGUUCACCUCGUCCAGUUCUCUACUACAUACAAAUAUUUACAUGUGUCAUUAAUGUUAUGACGAUUGUUUUAUCAAAUCGAUUAACUAUGUUUAAUUAUUAUGAUGAUUAAAUUAAUCCUGUAACAAUUAACUCACAAGCAAUCAUGGGGCACCACGGAAAAAGUUUAUUUAACGAGUUACCGUUUUCCGAAUGAACUCUUAAAGAUAUACACUACCAUUCAAAAGUUUGGGGUCACUUAGAAAUGUCCUUGUUUUUGAAAGAAAAGCUACAUUUUUGUCCAUUAAAAUAAAUCAAAUUGAUCAGAAAUUGUAGUGUAGACAUUGUUAAUGUUGUUAAUGACUAUUGUAGCUGGAAACGGCAGAUUUUUUAUGGAAUAUCUACAUAAGUUUAUAAUUUUAAAAGGCUAAUUGAUCAUUAGAAAACACUUUUUCAAUUAUGUUAGCACAACUGAAAACUGUUGUCCUGAUUAAAGAAGCAAUAAAACUGGCCUACUUUAGGCUAGUUGAGUAUCUGGAGCAUCAGCAUUUGUGGGUUUGAUUACAGGCUCAAAAUUGCCAGAAACAAAGAACUUUCUUCUGAAACUCGUCAGUCUAUUCUUGUUCUGAGAAAUGAAGGUUAUUCCAUGCGAUAAAUUGCCAAGAAACUGAAGAUAUCGUACAACGCUGUGUACUAGUCCCUUCACAGAACAGCACAAACAGGCUCUAACCAGAAUAGAACGAGUGGGAGGCCCCGGUGCACAACUGAACAAGAGGACAAGUACAUUAGUGAAAAGGGAGGGGCAUGUAAAAAAAGAGCAGGAGAAAAGACAAAGGACUUCACUAUCGUACGUACAGCUGAUAACUAUGCUCAUGGAAAUGCUAAUACUUUGCAGAUGAAAGGCCGCUGACUCUAUUCCAACUAAACUACUGAAAGAGCUGCUUCCUGUGCCUUGCCCUCCUAUGUUGAACAUAAUAAACGCCUCCCUAUCCACCGAAUGUGAACCAAACUCACUAAAAGUGGCAGUAAUAAAGCCUCUCUUCAAAAAGCAAAA
This is a long non-coding RNA of Oncorhynchus nerka (sockeye salmon), 5062 nucleotides long. RefSeq lists it as uncharacterized. Lineage: Eukaryota; Metazoa; Chordata; Actinopteri; Salmoniformes; Salmonidae. The transcript is spliced from 2 exons. The record is from RefSeq and is a predicted model, not a curated record.